UGACAAACCGGAGGAAGGUGGGGAUGACGUCAAGUCAUCAUGGCCCUUACGGCCCUGGGCUACACACGUGCUACAAUGGUCGGUACAAAGGGUUGCCAAGCCGCGAGGUGGAGCUAAUCCCAUAAAACCGAUCGUAGUCCGGAUCGCAGUCUGCAACUCGACUGCGUGAAGUCGGAAUCGCUAGUAAUCGUGAAUCAGAAUGUCACGGUGAAUACGUUCCCGGGCCUU
RNAcentral lists this ribosomal RNA (228 nucleotides) under uncultured Pseudomonas sp. RNAcentral's name for it is "partial 16S ribosomal RNA". It matches the Rfam family "Bacterial small subunit ribosomal RNA", at positions 1156 to 1382 of the family's 1533-position model. Lineage: Bacteria; Pseudomonadati; Pseudomonadota; Gammaproteobacteria; Pseudomonadales; Pseudomonadaceae. The record is from RNAcentral.